RNAcentral lists this long non-coding RNA (2068 nucleotides) under Helianthus annuus (common sunflower). Lineage: Eukaryota; Viridiplantae; Streptophyta; Magnoliopsida; Asterales; Asteraceae. The record is from RNAcentral.
GUUAUCGUCAGUUUUGUUGCCAGUUAAAAACCUCCCAUGUUUUGCCCCACAUUCUCCACCUUCCGUGCUUUCAGGCGGCCAUCUCCUCCUCACCCAUAAAACUAACAUCCAUCUCCACAACCUGCAUCAACAAAUCAAAAGGCAAAAGUGGGUAAGUGAGUUACUGAAGAAAAGAAAAUUCAUCCUCACUCCCUUACGCGACAUUCACCUCCUCAACCCAGUUCGAUCGAUACUAACCCCUGCUCCCCAUAUCACACCGGUGUUACAACGCUCCUAUCCUAACCACCACCGGAGAUAUGGUCAUAUGGAUUGAUUGCAACAAGUAGUGUUCAUCUCUUCGUCAGAUGCGGGAUUCCGGAGUCCAUAUUAAGGAAUUUUGCUUCUCCAGUGAACUUUGCGUCUUCUCCAAACACCCCCACCCCCUUUUAACCUAAUUGGAAAAAAUACAAAGUAAAUAGUGGGGUUUGGAAAAAAGGAAUGACGGAUUGCUUAUAUACGAAAUGAGGAAGGCUACAUGCAGUGGGUGUCUAAAGGGCUAAUCAUGGAUUUUUUAUGUUAAAUAAUAUAGUAAAAUUGGAAAAUGUGUGUUGGUACUUACGAAAGGGAAAAAUCGCGGGUAUCCAAGGGGCUAAUCCAAAAUUUGAUUGCCAUACUGCAGCCUUGAGGUUGUCACUGCUGGUGGUCAAGGUAUUGAUGUUUUGAUGAAUGUGGAGCACUCAAGUUGACCUCCGGUUGCCUCAAAGCUGGCCCCUGGCAUGUCCGGUAUGUUUUCCUUUUGUUCACAUGUUUGUGGUAUGGCUUCUUUAUAUGGGGUGGUCAUUUUGGCCCAUUUACUUUUGAAUGGGUCGAUUCGGGUUGUCCUGUCUAACUGGUCACCUAAAGCCUAUAGUUUAUUGCAUACAAAAUUGUACAUUCUUUGUUCAAAGAUUUAGAUUAUUACAGUUAGGGGUGUCAAUUAUGUCGGGAUUUAGAUUAUUACAGUUAGGGGUGUCAAUUAUGUCGGGUUGUGAGUUAGUGGGUUGAAUUGUGCAACCCGAAUACGACCAACAUUACCAUUCAUUUGCUAUUACCAUAACAUGAAAGUUAUUUGAGGAUCAGACUCAUUGUUUAAUAAGAUGCCUUUAUUUUGAGAAUCAGAUCUGGUUUAAAACUAUGGACUAUCAUAACAGUUAUGAAGCAUUUAACAUUUUUUAUUGGUAAAAUGAUAAGAACUUAAUCAUUAAUAAUAAUAAGAGUUGAUUGAACAUGAAGAGUCUUGGCAGGGAUAUGAUGAUCAAAGAGUUUGAUGAUGAAAGACUCGAACUUGAUUGCAAGUUGGAAAUAGAAAAUUUAAAAAAACAUGUGUAUUGUAGUUGGGACUUGGAGUUAGCAAUAAAUGUCCUCAGAUUUUUUGGAAGGAUGUCAAGUUUAAUUUAUUUAAAAAACACAUACUAAAAUGGAUUAACGGAUCAACCCAUUUUAUGAAAUAGGUCAACUUGAAUGCGACCCGUUUUUAAACGGGUCAAUCCUAACACGCCCUAUUUUUUAACAGGUCAAGUUUGCCAGGCCAAAAACUGAUUAAUUUUGUGUCGUGUUUGGGUUGUGUUUUAGGUCGUGCCAAGAAUUUUCACCCCUAAAGUAAUCUUAUUUUUCAUACUUAUAUUAUCGCAUUAAAUAUGUAUAAAAGAUUAGAAAGAUGAUGUGUAUGCAGUACGGCUUAGCCCAAUUUGACAUGGCCUGUUUUGUAACGGGGCAAAUAGGUUUUGUCAAAUGAGUGCUUUUGAUUCGAUAGGCGGGCCAAACUGGUUUGGUUCAAAUUUUUAUGGCAUCUAAGUUUCAAGAGACUUUUGGAAGAAAUAGCUUAGUUUUGUAUUAUUUAUCAUAGAAUAAAAAAAUGACGGAUCAUCCCGUUUUGGUUGGUUACAGGCUAAACAGAGUGGGUCAAAAUGAGCCUCUUAAGUUGCCAACAAUGGUUAUUUCUGUUGUCAAGGCUUUAAUUUGAUGGUUAGAUGUGAUCAUUUCUUUUUGUGACUACCAUUGAUAUAUGUAGAAAAUAUGUAUAUCUUCAAGCACCAAUGCACCGGUAACA